GAUGAACGCUGGCGGCGUGCCUAAUACAUGCAAGUCGAGCGAACGGACGAUAAGCUUGCUUCUCUGAUGUUAGCGGCGGACGGGUGAGUAACACGUGUAUAACCUACCUAUAAGACUGGGAUAACUUCGGGAAACCGUAGCUAAUACCGUAUAAUAUUUUGAACCGCAUGGUUCAAAAGUGAAAGACGGUCUUGCUGUCACUUCUAGAUGGAUCCGCGCUGCAUUAGCUAGUUGGUAAGUUAACGGCUUACCAAGGCAACGAUGCAUAGCCGACCUGAGAGGGUGAUCGCCCACACGGGAGCUGAGACGCGGUCCAGACGACUAAGGGAGGCAGCAGUAGGGAAUCGUCCGCAAUAGGCGAAAGCAUGACGGAGCAACGCCGCGUGAGUGAUGAAGGUCUUCGGAGCGUAAAACUCUGUUACUAGGGAAGAACAGAUGUGUAAGUAACUGUGCACAUCGUGACGGUACCUAAUCAGAAAGCAACGGCUAACUACGUG
Molecule: ribosomal RNA, 497 nt
Filed under: uncultured bacterium
Lineage: Bacteria
Description: partial 16S ribosomal RNA
Rfam family: Bacterial small subunit ribosomal RNA
Source: RNAcentral